UUUUUUUUUUUUUUUUUUUUUUUUCUGGGAGAAAAGGUGUGGAGCAGACUGAACUAGGACACAACAAAAACACACAGCUCAAAAAUUUAAUAUGAGCCACUACUAUUAACACAAUAUGUCUUUUAAAAAUUCUAGAGGCAGUGUAAUCUUUUUUUCCUUUGUCCUCCUCCUUAAAAAAUGUUACUGUUCUUGUGCAACUGGUUUUUAUUUUUCAACUUAACUGUCCAACUAAUGAGAAAUCCUUAAUUCCUGGACUAAUUCAAUCAGUUAUUAUUUUAUUCAAUGUGUAUUUAGAAAGUUGAAUCUUUGCAAGGAGGUUUUUGAUAUUUUCUUUAUUAAAAAAACCCCAAAACUCUUUCUCAACAGCAAACAUUUUCACCGAUCAAGCCUGAAGGCUCCUGGCAUAUUUUUUUUCAAUGCUUCAGGAUGUUCAGUGUUAAAAGUUUUGUUAUCAGAAAAUAAGACAAAGUUUAGGGUGCAUUUGUGUAAAAAUUGUGUUCACAGAGGUUUCCCUCAGCUGCUUCAAGGUCAAGGGGAGCUGCAAGGUGGGAGGUGAAGUUUAUCUUACAGUCUAAUUAAUGUCUUUGGAGAAAAGAAAAAGGGAGCAGAGAGCACAUAUUUGGUGCAGUCUGUGGCUCCUUUUAAGAAAACAAUUGACUUCUUUUGUAUUUUUAUUACUGGAAAAAGUGAAAACAGAUAUCUGAGGGAGAAAGAACCAGAUCUCCUGUUGCAAGGACACUUGGUGAAAUGCGGCCGGUGUCUGAUGCAGAGCUCAGCCCUGGGGAAAGGCUGGGCUUGGGAAGAGCCCCGAGUGCUGCAGCUGAGGCUGGAGCCCCAGCGGGGUCAGGGAGGUGCCCCUGGGAGAGUUCCAGGGGCCUUUGGAGCUGAGCUACAGCUGCUGCUGCUGGCAGGGGAGGAGAUGAAAUUAUAGCGUGGAAAGGGGAGAAAAGAGGAAAGUCUGAAGGGGUGAAAGCACAGAGUUUUGUUUUCAUCCCUAUAAUAUUCUCAGGAAUCCCUUUAAGGGGAUGAAAGCCAGCCCUUGAAAGUUUGAUUAUUCUGUCUUCAUGUUUUGCAGGAAUCUACAGACAACAGAAACAAGUGAUAAUCAAUAAGAAUUGGAAGCAGUACAGACUGCUGCCUGAGUCUCACUGAAAUGAGUGUAGCAAGACACAAGCUCCUUCAACAAACCUUGUGACCAGUAAUUUUAGUGAACAGCAGCAGCUAAUAUGCAAUUAUGCUACAACACCCUCUACAACUCCCAGCCAAAACCCUCUGCAAGUAAAAAAAAGUCCUGUAUACUCUUAUGAGCACAAAGCCACAGACUUGAAACUUGGGAAAUUGUAGAAAUGAAGCUGCAUGACUGAUCUUACUACAGCUUCCCAAGACACCUCUCAGUCAUUAAUUUCAUGACUCUUUCAGAAUGUUGUCCCAGUGCAGAGCAUAGAUAAGAAAAAAGUGAAGUACAAAAUGCUUGAGGUGUAUGGCCACUGUAUGAUAAGGAAUCAGACUUCUUUCAAACCAUUUAAUUCACAGACACCACUGCUGAAUGCUCUCAAAAGAUGAACAAGUAGUUUCCUCAGGAGUCUGCAAGAUGGAGAAGGUAGUAUUAUCAUUUCAUUUUAGCUGGACAUCUGAGAUGCCACUGUGGCUAGAGACAAUUUUCUGAAGAAAGUUGUUCUCCAGAUUUCCAAGGCUUCCAGCCCCAUGUUUAGAAGCCUGUGGUGUUGGACUAAUACAGGGAGAAAAAGGACACUGAUGAAUGUCCCAAAACCCUGAUGAUCUUUCACAGCUUUCACUCUGCUCUCUAUACAAGGCUGACUAGUUUAAAAGUUUAACCUAGCUAGCCCAAGGCAUCAAGCAAGUUAAAAGUAUUAUUAAAGCUUAAAUGGGGCCAUCUCCUGGCUUCAUGAACACUUCCAGGCCAAUAAAUAACUAGCUGAUUAGCAUAAAAAGGAGCAUUUCCAAUUCUUAUGAAAGGAUCAGUAAGCAUGUAAUAAAUUUUUCCAUUCCACUGACUACAUUUAAUGUGUUAAACUGUAAUAUUCUGAAUAAGACACAAGUUUUAAUGUCUGCUUUUUCAAAACACGUUUAAAUGUUAUAUUCUUUUUUUUUUAAUCUUGGUUUUUGUUUGCAUGAUUUACAUGAAAUAAAAUAUAAAAUGCAGUCUUUGAUUGCUGUCUUCUGUUUUUCUCUCUGCCUCCUAGUCCUUUUCCCAGCAAAGCUAAAUGUAAACCCUACUGCCAUUUUUAAGCAUGCAUGUGAGAGAAAAUUGAUUCCCCAACAAAGUUCUAUAUGUGCUGCAGAAAAUAAGGUUAGGCUUACUAAAGUUCUUUUAAUUUACAGGAAACCAUUUGUGACUGAUUGCUUGUGAAGAAAACAAAGGAAAAAUUUACUUUAGAAACUGAUCUGGCUCCUAGAAUCAAGACAGCUUAAAGCAGAGGGAAUCUUAAGGAGUGACAGACAUUUUGAAAGAAAGACUGCUAGCCUGGAAACCAUCUCAGCUACUAACUUUUGAAAUCAGAUAUCUUAAUCUGUCACUUUCUUGCUGAGUUACCACGAUCAGAUCAGAAGUACUCAAAUUCAGACAGGUACUAAGAUCCCAGAGAUCUUUCUCUAUGUAUUCCUGAGCCUCUCUGUACCCCGUCUACCAAAUGGGAAUAAAAGACUAAUGAAUAAUACAAUUUACACAUCCACAGCAAAUUGAAAUGUGUCUUCAUGUGUUUCCUAUUCCUAUAAAUUAAAUAUAUACAAUAUUUUGGUAAAAAGCUGAAAGUUUGUCAAGUUAUGAAGCAUACAUUUAUCUUAGACAUUUCUUACCCACCGAAACUUCCAAUACUCAAGAAGGUUAAGAAUUGUGUAUGUACAAAUCUUGUCUCACUACUCUUAUACUUCAAAGAUGACAUUGUAUUUGCAUUGCAAUUAUACCUUCAGAAACAUCAGCUAUUGUACCCUAAAAAAGAAUUAAUUUUUGUGAGCCUAAAUUUGCCACUCCCCCUGAGUAGUGGUAUUCACUCUUUUGGAAAAUAACGAUUUAUCUCACACAACACCAUUCACGUCUUAGAAACAACAACAGGAAUUUUCUUUAGCAAAAAGUGAAAUAUUAGUAUGUUAAGGAUUCAAAAUAUUUUUCUGCAAUUGUCUGUCUUAAAUGAUUAGUAACAACUUAGCCUUACAAUCUCAACUUUCUUAGUAUAUGAUAACUAAGCUACAGAAUAGAACUUUGCCUACCAAAUAUGAGCACAAAAUAUUAAAAGAUUAGGUUUUCUCAGUACUAUAAACUAGUGUCAAAAUGGUUUCUGGUAUUUCUGUAGUACUAUAUAAGCCCUCUGAAGCAUUUCAACAUGAUGUUUCACAACACAACCAUUAUCCUGAAAUGAUACAAACGAGAUAGAUUUUCAUUCUUCUCAGUGUCUCACUGCACACAAACCCCACAUUUGCAGAAAUCUUAUAAGCAGCUUCUAAGACUGUUGUCUCAGGUUCUGCUAAUUAUGAAAUGAACUGCAAAAUAAGGGUAUUUUUUAUUCUCUACUGCAUAGAAGCAUCGCUUGUCACCUACCAAACUGAUUUAUGGGAUCAUGUCUAGGUGAAGAAGCUACAACAUCUUGCUCUUUUGUAGUUUAAGGAGUUAGUAAGAAAUUAGUGCCAUUUUAGAUAUACCAAAAAGUCUAAUUUGGAAAGAAUAAAUAGUGUGGUCUAAGUAUUUUUACUUCAUGGAGCUGAGCUAGCUGCAGCACACCCAGGUUAUUCUCAAGACAAAGAAGUCCAGACAAAAAAAAUCUUGGCAUGUACAGCUGCCAUACGGAGGGUCCAUGUGUCAUUGUUGUGUGGUAAAAUUAUCUUCCAAAUUUUUUUCUUAUGUUAUUUAUAAUCGAUUGAUGUUUUCCCAGCUCUUUUUCUUUCAAAUCUGAGAGGAGGAGAAUCAUGUUAUUUUUCAGUCCAAAAGCAGAGAAAAAUAAAUUUAGCUUGAAAAACUCCAGCUAAAGUAUGAAAUGGUUUUUAUAGGCAUAAAACCAACUUCCUCUUAAGGCCUAGUGCUGGGGGACUGUCCAUGGCUUGAGGCUAAUGCUCUCCCCAGGCAGAGCUGAGGGUCCAUCCUUUCUCAUGGUUUGAUGCUCCUGUUUCUAACCUUCAUGGUUUGUUAGCCAGGUGACCUUCAACCUUCGAUCCUGGGAAGACUAUUAGUGGUGACACCAGAUUUGCCUCAGGAGCACGGCUGCAGGGGAGCAGUCCCAGGUGCACCACAAAUGCACCUUAUCACAUCAUUCUACACUUAAUCACUGGGAUAUCAAAAUACAUUCAGAAUGUGCAUAUAUAAACAUAAAUAAAUACAUGAGAAUAUAAAUAAAAAUUGGCGUUUAGAGGAGAUAAGUCAGGCUGCAGCCAUUAUACUACUGUGACCCACUUUUAUGCAUAUAUUCCCCACUUAUCCUAAUCCAAAACAGGAUUUAUGUGCAAACUUUUCUUCAAGUAAAAUCUCAGUGCUGUGACUGGGGAGUGCUCUUUAAACAAAUCUGUAGAAGUCAAUGACUCAAACUUCUAGAGAAAUUAUCUGUGUGUUUCAGAAGCUUUUGUUGCAUUGGGGUGUAAUCCCAGCUCUUUUGAAUACGAACUAACAUUUCAAAACUUGGACAGGUUUGGCUACAUGUCAGGGAAAAAAUUCAACACCUGCCAUAUUUGGGAUAUUAUUGCAAUAGCAAUAAUAAGUAACAUCCCAGAGCCUAGAGCUGUUAUAAAAAAAUCAUCAUUGAGAAACAAGGGAAAAAAAAAAAGCAUACAUCUUUUUCAUCAUAAUUCCCUGUUUUCCUUCAAGAUUUGCAUGGGUGUCCUCUAAAAAUUUCUUUCAGGAUAAAAGACUAAAAGGAAGCUUCCUAUGUUGAAAAUGGUUCAUAAGUUAAAUUCUCUGUUAGAUACAGCUGUAAAAUGAAGGUAUUCUUCAAGUAGCA
Molecule: long non-coding RNA, 4943 nt
Organism: Taeniopygia guttata (zebra finch)
Lineage: Eukaryota; Metazoa; Chordata; Aves; Passeriformes; Estrildidae
Source: Ensembl